CGGAUGUAGCCAAGUGGCUCAAGGCAGU
Molecule: transfer RNA, 28 nt
Filed under: Salix bebbiana
Lineage: Eukaryota; Viridiplantae; Streptophyta; Magnoliopsida; Malpighiales; Salicaceae
Also listed under: 5 other names
Description: partial tRNA-His
Source: RNAcentral